RNAcentral lists this long non-coding RNA (2153 nucleotides) under Marmota monax (woodchuck). Lineage: Eukaryota; Metazoa; Chordata; Mammalia; Rodentia; Sciuridae. The record is from RNAcentral.
GGAGGGAGCCCAGACGCUGAGUUCCGGCCCUGGCUGAGCUUGCGUUGCACCAACAUCCAUCCCCCGCCCCUCGACAUUGGGUUCCUGCCCAGGGUUCUGGCUUUCUUCCUGGGCUUUGUAGCGCGGCCGGGGGCGGGGCUUUCUAACCUCUCAAGUGGCAAUUCCUUUAGGUUUUGGGGCCUUGGUUGCCCAGAAUGGGCUGCGGCAUAUUCUGUGCUUUCCCGGGCUGGGACGAGCUGACAGAAAUUCUGGGUUUAGCGGUCGCCGACCCAGUGGGCCGCCAUCGGCGCCCAGAGGUGGCUGGGAAGAAUGGGCGAGUUUAGUAGGCGUCCCAGGCUGUCAAAAUCUUUGCUGUUGGCUCGUGCUGUCCAGCUGCGGUAGGUGCAUCCCUGGGAUACCGGAAGAACUAGGCGAGGCAUUGCACAUGGAGUGUUUUGGCUUGUAUUGGCGUGUUCUGACUUCAAGUGUAUUAGAUGAGAAUGACGGUAGCAAUGAGAAUUUCACUUGCAGACCUUAUCUCAUCCACCCUAAGUGUACCUGGAAGUGGCAUUUUGCCCAAGUGUGCCCUGGGGUAAGGCAAGAAUAGGGUAGGUUAGAAAUACCUGAAAUGAAAGUCCUGUCUUUAUCUAGGGGACAAACUCUGAUCAAGUCUUAGUGCCAUUUCUGUCUUGGAAUUCAGAAGUGAAAUGUGUCACUGCGACACCUGUCAACACAUUUAUUUUACUUGAAAACCGAAUUUUUCUGACCAAAAGUAAAUCUAAUUUGGUUAAUUGGUUCUAUAGACUGGUGUUGCUAAGUUGCCUAAUUUUUUUAAACAAUAAAUUUAACUAAAUCUAUUUAAAUUAGUGAUACUGCGACUCUGGAGGCUGAGGCAGGAUCAUCACAAGUUCAGGGCCAGACUCAGCAAUUUAGGAAGGCUCUGUCUAGAAUUUAAACAAACAACAAAAAAAAAGCAAAUGGUUAUAAUAAUAAGAUAACAAAUUAUUUUGCAAGUCAGAUGUUUUCCAGUUCUUUAUUUACAGCAAAAUUAAUGGCUGACCUAAUUGAAUUGUUAGCUGAUGAAAGAUCACUUUUAAUUUUGGAACUAUAACUCAGAAAAAAGCCCCAAAAUUGAUUGACAUUACUAAAACAAAACUACUAGCAUUUUCAUAUUCUUAUUUAUUUGAAUAUUUCUUAGCCUUGUGUUUAUUAAAACAAAAAAGGAAUGGAAUUGAAACUGACCCCUGUUGAUUUAGCAGUAAGAAAUACUCACCUAGGUGCAUGAAUUAAUUGAUAGGAAAGCCCCAUCUAUUUUAGGGCUUUAUACAUGUUAUGCAAGCCCUCUACCAACUGAGCUUCAUCCCCAGACAUAAGAAAUGCUUUCUCAAUAGAAUUAUACCACUUAUAUUUCUAUAUUAUCAAAAUUUGUAAUUGUGUUGUUUUGACUAGCUAUAUACUAAAUUGCAAUAAUUCAGAAUUCUUUCUUUUUUCUUUUAUUAUUUUUUUUUAAAGAGAGAGAGAGAGAGAGAAUUCUAACAUUUAUUUAUUUUUUUUUUAGUUAUCUGCGGGCACAACAUCUUUGUUUGUAUGUGGUGCUGAGGAUCGAACCCGUGCCGCACGCAAACCAGGCGAGCGCGCUACCGCUUGAGCCAUAUCCCCAGCCCCAGAAUUCUUUCUAAUACCUAGAACCAUAAGUUAUAGGGAAUUGUUAAAACUUUUACUUUCAAACAUAUUUUUAUUGUAAAGAAGUGAUCAAUAAAACGUUUUUCAAACAUUAAUUACAUUUGGAUAACUUGGGGGAAAAGAACCUAAAUAUAAGUUAGAGAUGAUAAAGGAGCAAUGCUAAGACUGUCUUGCCUGCUAGAGAGGGGUCACAUUCUCCUUUGAAUGUUUAUUACUUUUCUCACCCCAAAGGUUCUGACUCAAGAUUAAUUCUCCCCCGAAUGUGUAUUUCUUACUUUACCCCAAAGGAUGUCUCUUACUCUUGGAAUGGCCUGCAUUCUCCCCUUGCUUUUCUAAAUAAAAUUCUGUGCCUACUGGGGUAGGGUGGGGAGAAUGAUGUUGAAAGCUCAUUUAUGUAUUUUUUUAAUGGAUGAGGGUGUUUAUUCAAUUGUUAUAUACUUUCUGUUGGAUGUAUUAUAAAAAGUGAUUUCACGGUUUUUAAUUGUCAGUGU